AUGUUUAUGACGUCAUAUGUAUCAUAACGUCAUUUAACGCUUAACGCACAUGAAUAAUAUUUAGCCGAGGAAGAACACGUUGUAGUUGUAAAAAGGAAUUCUUCAAUAAACUUUAGAUAUUCAAAUAUUUUACAGGUGAUAUACACAGCGGGCGGACAUACCACUUUUUCUCUGAACGUACCUGAACGUGGAAAAGGUUGUGGGAGGAACAUGUGUUUUAAAGUCAACUGUGAAAAUUGUAACAAGCCAACAUGGAAAGGUUGUGGCGCGCAUAUCGAGCAGGUUUUGAAAGAUGUACCAGAGGCGGACAGAUGCAAAUGUCCCCGGAGCUAGGCUCGUCCUGUUGUAGUCAGGUCCAGUAUUGGCGGACAUUCUAAAGAGAGCGGAUCAUUUUCGAUUCGGACAAUGUUGUAAAUAGUGUUGUUCUUUCAUUUCUUGCUCAAAUGUGUUUUUUUUUUCUAUUUAUUCAUAUGAUGUUUGAACUGAUUUUCGAGCAAUAUUUAUUUUCUCAAUGAUUAUCAUUAUCAAAAUAAAAGUGUGUGUAUAAACA
This is a long non-coding RNA of Mercenaria mercenaria, 550 nucleotides long. RefSeq lists it as uncharacterized. The transcript is spliced from 4 exons. Lineage: Eukaryota; Metazoa; Mollusca; Bivalvia; Venerida; Veneridae. The record is from RefSeq and is a predicted model, not a curated record.